GAAAGCCUCCUUUUCGGCCUCCUC
RNAcentral lists this non-coding RNA (24 nucleotides) under Arabidopsis thaliana (thale cress). Lineage: Eukaryota; Viridiplantae; Streptophyta; Magnoliopsida; Brassicales; Brassicaceae. The record is from RNAcentral.